UACAAUUUUAAUUGCUACAAUUGUCUGGUU
This 30-nucleotide non-coding RNA is filed under the name Mus musculus (house mouse). The record is from RNAcentral. Lineage: Eukaryota; Metazoa; Chordata; Mammalia; Rodentia; Muridae.